Molecule: RNA transcript, 1310 nt
Organism: Mangifera indica (mango)
Lineage: Eukaryota; Viridiplantae; Streptophyta; Magnoliopsida; Sapindales; Anacardiaceae
Gene name: replication protein A 32 kDa subunit B
Exons: 11
Source: RefSeq, a predicted model, not a curated record
UCAGCUGGCCUCUCACAAAUCACACACUCACAAAAAGCCCAAAAAGCAAAAAUUAAACAUUAAGAAAAAUGUAUUCAGGAGAAUUCGACGGCGCCACCGCCUUCUCCGGCGGAGGAUUCAUGCCAUCUCAGGCCACCGUUAACCCCAAUAACUCCUCCUCUGUUUCCAAAAAUCGAAUUGUCCGGACCCUGCUUCCAUUGACUGUGAAGCAGCUAAAUGAAAUAUCAAGUAGUAUUGAAUUGACUGCUACAAUUGAUGGUAUUGAUGUCAGCACUGUUACAAUUGUUGGGAAGGUAUGUGAUAUGCAAGAUAAGGAACCCCAGUUUACCUUCCUUAUUGAUGAUGGCACAGGGAAGAUUGAAUGCAGUAGAUGGGCUCAUGAGCGCUUGGAAUUCAACGAAGUAAGCCAAAUCUUGCAAGGAAUGUAUGUUCGUGUUUAUGGACACUUGAAAUCCCUUCAGGAUAAAAGGACCUUAAAUGCCUAUUCCUUGAGGCCUGUGAUUGACUUCAAUGAGAUUACAAGCCAUUUUAUCGAGUGCAUAUAUGUUCAUGUAUAUAACACCAAUUUACGGGCUGGCAUCAUGGCUCAUCCCCAAAUGAUAAAUUCUACUGCUAUUAAUACCCCUCUGAAGGAAUAUCAAGCUGUUCCUUCUAAUCAAUUCUCUGGCCAUUAUAGCUUUGAUGGAGACAAGAGCAUUUAUCAGAUUGUCUUGAACUUUUUGCGGAGACCUGAGUUCCUUGCAAUUAACAAUGGGAUACAUUGCAGCGAAAUUGCUAAACAGCUUAAUCUUCCAAUGGAUAAGCUCAUGGAAGUUUUAGAAUAUCUUAAUGAAAAUAGUUUAGUUUACUCGGUUGAUGAGUUUCACUACAAAUCUGCUGUCAAUGCGUGAUAUCUACAUUCUGCAAAAAAUGCCAAUCAUGUUGGUCUAAGCUUGAACAACACCAUGCUGCAAAGCAUUCACCCAUGUUGAUUUCAGGACUAUCAAGAUUGUGGGAUACAAAACUAGGCUUCAGUGAGAGCUCAUUCAACAUUUUUUUUUUUUGAAGUAUGUGAAUCCCUCUACAUAAAUUUUGUCUGGCUUGAGGAAAUCUAUGGUUUUAAUGCGAUAAUUUUAUUGACCCUUGACUGCCACUAAAUUGUCAGUUUGAAUCUCGAUGAUCAUUAAGUUGACAUUAUCCUUUUUUCCGCCCUAGGCACUGCUAGAUGAAGAUACAAAUGCCAUAUUUCAUUCUAGUAUCACCGUGCUAGAUACCAGAGUGAAAUUUAAAUCUGUAAAUUGAUAAAAUGAUGAAAUUGUUUUUCCUUUUCA